This 2095-nucleotide long non-coding RNA is filed under the name Homo sapiens (human). RNAcentral describes it as "HSALNT0325597". Lineage: Eukaryota; Metazoa; Chordata; Mammalia; Primates; Hominidae. The record is from RNAcentral.
GGAAGUGAGCUGCCAUGUACUAGGCCACGUGGCAAGGGCCUGGUUGGGGACCUCCAGGGGUUGAGAGCAUCCUCUGGACAACAUGGAAAAAGAAAAUGAAAAUGGUGACCUCAGCCCUAUAGCUAGAAGGAAUUGAAUCCUGUCAACAACGAUACUCAUCACUCACUGCAGAUGUUACUUUAAGACAUUCUGGAGCAGCGUCAUGUGCAGGAACAAUAAGGAAGUGAGUGCUUUUGUAAUUCCUGAACAACUGUGUCUUACACUUACUAAGUUCUCUUGCCUGCCACCAUGUAAGAUAUGCUUUUACUCUUCCGCCUUCCACCGUGACUGUGAGGCCUCCCCAGCCAUGUGAAACUGCCUUUGAGCUUAUACUGAAUUAUACCACCAGCUUUCCUAGGUCUUGAAGCUUACAGACAGCAGAUCUUGGGACUUCUCAGGCACCAUAAUCAAUCAUAUAAAGAAAAAUCAAAGUAAGAGACCUAUUCGAGAUUUACAGAGGAAGACAAUCUUUUCUUCUCACCUUGAGAUAAAUGAUCCAAUGAUUCGGAACUUGAAAAGUGGUAGCUUUAUGAAUUCUCCUUAAGAAGAAACCUGUGCCCUGAUCUUGCCUACUCACCCAAAGGCACUGUGAGAUAGCAUCAAAGGAACAGCUAGUAAGAGACACAGAGCCAGAAAUCAGGGAAGUAAAAUACACUUGACAUCUACGUUCGGAAAGAAAUUUUAGGAGGCAGAAGCAAAUGGAUCAGAAGCUGCUUAUAUUUUUGCAAGAUUACCAAAGAAACCAUUGGUGGAGAAAGUUCUGUGACCAACUUGUCUGAGUCUAGUAAGAUUGAACGCUCACACACAAGUUUCAUGAAGUGGGUUUGAUACUUACAGAUAAGCAGCAAGGACCAACAGAAGCUGAUGAUCUAUGGUGAACUUUUUCCCAAGGCUCCGGAAAGCUGCCUAAAGUAGAUGGAGUCUUCUCUGUGUGUGCCCCACUGGUCCUGCAGUUGAAGGAUCCGGUAAAGCAGCCUGCCCUUGGUUUUAUACUCCAGAGGAACGUGAUUCGCUGGACUAAAGCAUUGAAGUGCAUCCUGUUUCCGGGGGGCACUGGAACAGAGCCUGGUCUGUUCUAGCCAGUCCCUUUCUAUCUCAGGAUAACAUUCUACAGUUAUUCUUGAGAACUAUAAUCAAAUAAGCAGGGAGAACUGGGAAAGCAGAGGCUCAUUGUGGAACCCUCAAGGAGCAUGGGGUCGUCUUCAUCCCUCAGUUUAUAAAUGGCCAAGGAGAGUAAUGCAACAAAAACUUCUCAGAGUUAAAAGCCAGAGUUCCUAAAGAACCGUGGACAAAGGGUUCUGUCUAGUGGGCAGAAUUCAUCCAGCGAAGGUGCUUACUGCACUCCCAGCAUGUGCUUGGGAACUUUAUUAAAAUUCCUUCCUAUUGAGAUUUAAAUUGCUGUCCAGAAUUAUACAAUAUAAUGAAUGGGGGCAUUCAUUAUGUGUAUUCUAUGCCUUCUCCAUCAUUGCAUAUUCAGUCCUCGUGCUAGAGAGAGGCAGAUAAUCUACCUUUUAAAUUGAUAGGUCUCCUAACUACAGAGGGUCACAUCUGGAUCUGAUGGCACCUACAGAACUUGGACUCUGAGCGACAAUCAGUGACCAGGUGUGACUUUAUAUUAUCUCUGUCAGGGAAGGGUGAGAGUUUUCAAUGUGUGAACAUAGAAUAAAAUGGUCUGGUGACCAAAAGGCUCUAUUAAAGAUAAUAUGAGAUGUUCAAAACACUGGCUAUUUUCUUGGGAACAAAAGUUGAACUUCUAAAUCUUUCUCACAGAUUGUAGACCAAAGGAAUGAAUUCUGAUUGGCAGAAUAUAAGCCUACGUAAUAUAAAAAAGACUUCCAGGUUUGGCCCUCUGAGUCUUGACUCAUUACACACCAUCUCACAGCCUUAUUUUGCCUUUCAACAGGAAAUUUGGAACCCAGGUUUUCCCAACCUACAUCUACAAAAUGGAAUGGGUCUGAUUCGCAAGUUUUCAGAGAAAGAAGCCAACCUUAAUCAGACUGUGAUAUGAUGAGGAAAUAAAACUUGCUGUGCUAAUCAACUGAUACUGGGAAGCAUG